This 584-nucleotide ribosomal RNA is filed under the name uncultured bacterium. RNAcentral describes it as "bacterial SSU rRNA". It matches the Rfam family "Bacterial small subunit ribosomal RNA", at positions 470 to 1049 of the family's 1533-position model. The record is from RNAcentral.
UGACGGUAUCAUAUGAAUAAGCACCGGCUAACUCCGUGCCAGCAGCCGCGGUAAUACGGGGGGUGCAAGCGUUACUCGGAAUCACUGGGCGUAAAGAGCAUGUAGGCGGGUGAAUAAGUUGGAAGUGAAAUCCUAUAGCUUAACUAUAGAACUGCUUCCAAAACUGUUCACCUAGAGUAUGGGAGAGGUAGAUGGAAUUUCUGGUGUAGGGGUAAAAUCCGUAGAGAUCAGAAGGAAUACCGAUUGCGAAGGCGAUCUACUGGAACAUUACUGACGCUCAGAUGCGAAAGCGUGGGGAGCAAACAGGAUUAGAUACCCUGGUAGUCCACGCCCUAAACGAUGUACACUAGUUGUUGCUAUACUAGAUAUGGCAGUAAUGCAGUUAACACUUUAAGUGUACCGCCUGGGGAGUACGGUCGCAAGAUUAAAACUCAAAGGAAUAGACGGGGACCCGCACAAGCGGUGGAGCAUGUGGUUUAAUUCGACGAUACGCGAAAAACCUUACCUGGCCUUGACAUAGUAGGAAUCUUUAAGAGAUUAGAGAGUGCUAGCUUGCUAGAACCUACAUACAGGUGCUGCACGGC